Molecule: long non-coding RNA, 381 nt
Filed under: Arabidopsis lyrata
Lineage: Eukaryota; Viridiplantae; Streptophyta; Magnoliopsida; Brassicales; Brassicaceae
Description: long non-coding RNA (ALYR_LNC000207)
Source: RNAcentral
AGCUUGUGUAGGGUAUUUGCAGUCCAAUAUGACAAGAUUAGUGUGUAUGACUGAGUAUAAGAAAGUAAAAUGCAACCCGUAUCCUAGCUGCUAAAGUAGAGUAGAUAUAAAACAAAAAAACUCAUAGGGACUUCGUCCUCACUUACAAAACUUGGGAAAGCCAUAAUAAGCUUGUGUAUGGUUUUUGGAGUCCAAUAUGACAAGAUUGGUGUGUAUGACUGAGUAUAAGAAAGUGAAAUGCAACCCGGAUCCUGGCUGCUAAAGUAGAGUAGAUACAAAACAAAAAAACUCAUAGGGACUUCGUCUUCACUUACAAAACUUGGGGAAGGCAUAAUAAGCUUGUGUAGGGUAUUUGGAGUCCAAUAUGACAAGAUUAGUGUG